Ictidomys tridecemlineatus (thirteen-lined ground squirrel) is the source of this 478-nucleotide non-coding RNA. The record is from RefSeq and is a predicted model, not a curated record. Lineage: Eukaryota; Metazoa; Chordata; Mammalia; Rodentia; Sciuridae.
CAGGUGGCGCAGGUCGUUUCGAACCCAGCGAGGAGGGAGAGCCUUUGGUGAAGGCGGACAGAAGCGACUCUGGGGUCAUCGGAGGUGUGAUAGCAGUUGUGAUAUUUAUUUUGCUCUGCAUCUCUGCUAUAGCCAUAUGCAUUUACCAACAGAAAAAUUUAUGCAAAGAAAAUGAAUCAAAAGUUUCAAAAGACGAAGAGUGCUAGGACCACUCAGCGAAGUGCACGUUUCAAGACACAGUCCUGAGAGACAAUGUCUUCUGGUUGGCAGUGGGCUGAUCUACCCCAUCCACUGUGGACCGUCCUGAUCUGGUCAUCCCUGUGGGUGGGCCAGUGCUAACCAUCUGCUGAGGACCUGGGGUGCUGAGAGGCCCGUUCUGCCUUGGUGGACCCCUCCCUCCAGUGCAAUUUAUAUGACAGUGAAGGAGGAAUCCUCAUUCAUCAUGGUGGAGUAGUUUGCCCCAGAAGGAAUGCUCUCU